This 340-nucleotide ribosomal RNA is filed under the name uncultured bacterium. Its description in RNAcentral is "bacterial SSU rRNA". It matches the Rfam family "Bacterial small subunit ribosomal RNA", at positions 29 to 395 of the family's 1533-position model. The record is from RNAcentral.
AACGAACGCUGGCGGCAGGCUUAACACAUGCAAGUCGAACGCAUCCUUCGGGAUGAGUGGCAGACGGGUGAGUAACGCGUGGGAACGUGCCCUUCAGUUCGGAAUAACCCAGGGAAACGUUGGGCUAAUACCGGAUACGUGCGAGAGCAGAAAGAUUUAUCGCUGAAGGAUCGGCCCGCGUCUGAUUAGCUAGUUGGUGGGAUGGCCCACCAAGGCGACGAUCAGUAGCUGGUCUGAGAGGAUGAUCAGCCACAUUGGGACUGAGACACGGCCCAAACUCCUACGGGAGGCGAGCGAGUGGGAAGUAUUGGACAAUGGGCGCGAAGCCUGAUCCAGCCAU